This 657-nucleotide ribosomal RNA is filed under the name uncultured bacterium. RNAcentral's name for it is "bacterial SSU rRNA". It matches the Rfam family "Bacterial small subunit ribosomal RNA", at positions 188 to 848 of the family's 1533-position model. The record is from RNAcentral.
GCAUGGUCUUGUUAUUAAAGAAUUUCGGUUAUCGAUGGGGAUGCGUUCCAUUAGGCAGUCGGUGAGGUAACGGCUCACCAAACCUUCGAUGGAUAGGGGUUCUGAGAGGAAGGUCCCCCACAUUGGAACUGAGACACGGUCCAAACUCCUACGGGAGGCAGCAGUGAGGAAUAUUGGUCAAUGGGCGCAGGCCUGAACCAGCCAAGUAGCGUGAAGGAUGACUGCCCUAUGGGUUGUAAACUUCUUUUAUAUGGGAAUAAAGUUUUCCACGUGUGGAAUUUUGUAUGUACCAUAUGAAUAAGGAUCGGCUAACUCCGUGCCAGCAGCCGCGGUAAUACGGAGGAUCCGAGCGUUAUCCGGAUUUAUUGGGUUUAAAGGGAGCGUAGGUGGACAGUUAAGUCAGUUGUGAAAGUUUGCGGCUCAACCGUAAAAUUGCAGUUGAUACUGGCUGUCUUGAGUACAGUAGAGGUGGGCGGAAUUCGUGGUGUAGCGGUGAAAUGCUUAGAUAUCACGAAGAACUCCGAUUGCGAAGGCAGCUCACUGGACUGCAACUGACACUGAUGCUCGAAAGUGUGGGUAUCAAACAGGAUUAGAUACCCUGGUAGUCCACACAGUAAACGAUGAAUACUCGCUGUUUGCGAUAUACAGUAAGCGGCC